Molecule: ribosomal RNA, 1108 nt
Filed under: Dipteromimus flavipterus
Lineage: Eukaryota; Metazoa; Arthropoda; Insecta; Ephemeroptera; Dipteromimidae
Description: partial 16S ribosomal RNA
Source: RNAcentral
GGUAACUUAGUCUUUUAAUCGCUAUUAACGGAUCAUUUAUUUAUUCAUCUUUAGUCUAUUCUAAGAAGAGUUUAUUUUAUCUCCCCGUCACCCCAACAAAAUAAUUUUAAACUCACACUAAAAUCCUCCUAUACUAAUCCAAUUCCUUCAUUAUCAAGCUCUAUAGGGUCUUCUCGUCCUCUAAUUUCAUUUUAGCCUUUUCACUAAAAAGUUAAAUUUUAAGUUACUCCCCAUGAGACAGUCAACACCUCGUCCAACCAUUCAUACCAGCCUCUAAUUAAAAGACUAAUGAUUAUGCUACCUUUGCACGGUCAAAAUACCGCGGCCCUUUAAACUUCAGUGGGCAGGUUAGACCUUCUAUUUACACAAAAGGCGAUGUUUUUGAUAAACAGGCGAGCAUUAAUUUGCCGAAUUCCUUACCGAGACCUCUCUAAUACAUCACUUUUACAAUUCUUUAUACUAAUUUCAUCAUUAUUACUAAUUAUUACUCAUUUAUAAUUAUACUUUAAUGUACAAACUAAACUCUUUAAAAUUAAACUCUCUCUAAAUAAACUAUAACGUCAAUUCUCUAUUGGCUGAUUUCAAGCCUUCCAUUUCAGCCUUUAACUUCGUUAUAAGUAUAUUUUUAAGCUUAUCCCCCAAAAUAUUAAUGAACUUUAUUUAAAUCAAUUACCAUUAACCAACUUACUAAAUACAUCUGAAUUCAAUUCAUUUCUCAAAGAACUAGAAAUCUUUAAGAUCGUCUAACAUUUCAUUACUAAAACAAUCUAUUUAAUAAAUGUAACACUUUAACUAACCUAUUGUUUUAGCCCUCUUAAAAUCGAGAAAAUAAACUCUUUCACUUUAAUUAAUAAACCCUGAUACACAAGGUACAAUAUUAAAUCUUCUUCCUUUUAAUAACCUUUCAUCUCUUUCACUCUUCCUUCACAGUACUACCUUAUCACUUUACUUACAUUUUCUUUACCCAUUACUCCCCCCUAUUACAUUCAUAUUGAUUUACCUAUUUCAUUUAAUUAACUUCAUCUUUCCAUUACCUGUUCUUUCAAAAUAAGCCGAAUUGCACGACAACCUCUCAAUGUAACUGAAAUACUUUACUUAUCAAGCUCUA